This 568-nucleotide ribosomal RNA is filed under the name uncultured bacterium. RNAcentral's name for it is "bacterial SSU rRNA". It matches the Rfam family "Bacterial small subunit ribosomal RNA", at positions 102 to 694 of the family's 1533-position model. The record is from RNAcentral.
ACGGGUGAGUAACACGUGGGAACGUACCCUUUGGUUCGGAAUAACGCUGGGAAACUAGCGCUAAUACCGGAUACGCCCUUGGCCUUUGGCCCUGGGGAAAGGCUUGCUGCCGAAGGAUCGGCCCGCGUCUGAUUAGCUAGUUGGUGGGGUAAUGGCCUACCAAGGCGACGAUCAGUAGCUGGUCUGAGAGGAUGAUCAGCCACACUGGGACUGAGACACGGCCCAGACUCCUACGGGAGGCAGCAGUGGGGAAUAUUGGACAAUGGGCGCAAGCCUGAUCCAGCCAUGCCGCGUGAGUGAUGAAGGCCUUAGGGUUGUAAAGCUCUUUUGUCCGGGACGAUAAUGACGGUACCGGAAGAAUAAGCCCCGGCUAACUUCGUGCCAGCAGCCGCGGUAAUACGAAGGGGGCUAGCGUUGCUCGGAAUCACUGGGCGUAAAGGGCGCGUAGGCGGCCAUUCAAGUCGGGGGUGAAAGCCUGUGGCUCAACCACAGAAUUGCCUUCGAUACUGUUUGGCUUGAGUAUGGUAGAGGUCGGUGGAACUGCGAGUGUAGAGGUGAAAUUCGUAGA